RNAcentral lists this ribosomal RNA (421 nucleotides) under uncultured bacterium. RNAcentral describes it as "bacterial SSU rRNA". It matches the Rfam family "Bacterial small subunit ribosomal RNA", at positions 29 to 440 of the family's 1533-position model. The record is from RNAcentral.
AACGAACGCUGGCGGCGCGCCUAAUACAUGCAAGUCGAGCGAGAAGACGUAGCAAUACGUUUGUAAAGCGGCGAACGGGUGAGGAAUACAUGGGUAACCUACCCUCGAGUGGGGAAUAACUAGCCGAAAGGUUAGCUAAUACCGCGUACGCUCCUUGGACUUCGGUUCAGGGAGGAAAGCGAUACCGUGGGUAUCGCGCUCUUGGAUGGGCUCAUGUCCUAUCAGCUUGUUGGUGAGGUAACGGCUCACCAAGGCUUCGACGGGUAGCUGGUCUGAGAGGACGAUCAGCCACACUGGCACUGCGACACGGGCCAGACUCCUACGGGAGGCAGCAGUAAGGAAUAUUGCGCAAUGGGCGAAAGCCUGACGCAGCGACGCCGCGUGGGGGAUGAAGGUCUUCGGAUUGUAAACCCCUUUCGGA